This 429-nucleotide ribosomal RNA is filed under the name uncultured bacterium. Its description in RNAcentral is "bacterial SSU rRNA". It matches the Rfam family "Bacterial small subunit ribosomal RNA", at positions 355 to 775 of the family's 1533-position model. The record is from RNAcentral.
CGGGGAAUUUUGCGCAAUGGGGGAAACCCUGACGCAGCAACGCCGCGUGAGUGAUGAAGGCCUUCGGGUCGUAAAGCUCUGUCAGAGGGGAAGAAAUGCAGGGGUGCUAAUAUCAUCUUUGCUUGACGGUACCCUCAAAGGAAGCACCGGCUAACUCCGUGCCAGCAGCCGCGGUAAUACGGAGGGUGCGAGCGUUGUUCGGAAUUAUUGGGCGUAAAGCGCGUGUAGGCGGUUUGAUAAGUCUGAUGUGAAAGCCCCGGGCUCAACCUGGGAAGUGCAUUGGAAACUGUCAGACUUGAAUACGGGAGAGGGUAGUGGAAUUCCUAGUGUAGGAGUGAAAUCCGUAGAUAUUAGGAGGAACACCGGUGACGAAGGCGGCUACCUGGACCGAUAUUGACGCUGAGACGCGAAAGCGUGGGGAGCAAACAG